AACGGCCGUACCAUGCUGAAUAUACCGGUUCUCGCCAGAUCCACCGAGGGUCAAGCAUCAUUGGGCGCGGUCAGUACUUGUGUGGGUGGGUGACCACCUGGGAACACCGUGUGCCGUU
Molecule: non-coding RNA, 118 nt
Organism: Caerostris extrusa
Lineage: Eukaryota; Metazoa; Arthropoda; Arachnida; Araneae; Araneidae
Source: the annotation of a GenBank genome assembly